Condylura cristata (star-nosed mole) is the source of this 272-nucleotide RNA transcript. RefSeq lists it as uncharacterized. The record is from RefSeq and is a predicted model, not a curated record. NCBI's taxonomy places the organism in Eukaryota, Metazoa, Chordata, Mammalia, Eulipotyphla, Talpidae. The transcript has 2 exons.
CAGGACCCUAUCCCAGUGUCUACCUCCCUCCUCGGCAACACGUCCGACACCACCUCCACUGGCCUUGCCCAGCGCUUAGCCAGGAAGACCAACAAGCAGGUGUUCGUCAGCUACAACCUUCAGAACACAGACAGCACCUUCGCGCUGCUGGUGGAGAACAGGAUCAAGGAGGAGAUGGAGGCUUUCCCGGACAAGUUCUAGCUGUGGGAGAAGUGGGGGCUGUGGCCUGUGUUCCACCUACAUUUAAAUAAACGGAUUGAGUUGCACCGUCA